GAGAGACCUGUAAACAGGCCUCUUACACCUUGCUCCCUAAGAAUCUGCCUCGUCAAACUCCACGGUCCUACGCGAGGUCUCUGAGAAAUAACGAUGCUUGUUCGACUUCCAUCAUCGCUUGCAGCUUGCACUUUAUCAAUUCCGUUGGACACAGCGUCAACGAAGAGAAGAAUGCGGCAAAAAAGCCGGCCCAAGCGUUGCUGAAGGAACUCAAGUCUUUCACGUUUUGUACACCUGUAAAAAAGGAAUAUUAACCAUUGAAUUAAAAUUUUUGUUAUAUACA
Pogonomyrmex barbatus (red harvester ant) is the source of this 283-nucleotide long non-coding RNA. Lineage: Eukaryota; Metazoa; Arthropoda; Insecta; Hymenoptera; Formicidae. The record is from RefSeq and is a predicted model, not a curated record.